RNAcentral lists this long non-coding RNA (10280 nucleotides) under Marmota monax (woodchuck). The record is from RNAcentral. Lineage: Eukaryota; Metazoa; Chordata; Mammalia; Rodentia; Sciuridae.
AGCGGCUGCAGCUCAGUCAUGAGUCACUUUUCUUUUUCCCUCUGUUCUGUUCUAAUUGUCAUCCAUUCUCCUCCUGACUUACCUCCUUUCGAGUCAGGACAAAGCAGAACAGUUUCCCAAGUCCCCUGCCGGGUCACAAACUCUUGGUAAGUAGCAACCAUAAGAACAACAGGGAGGAGAACACAUAGUUAAUGGUACAAGGGAUGAUGGCAGUUUUUCCGAGAAGGCGAUAGAGAGAAGUGUGAGUGAGCCUUGGGAUAGGGCAGACAGGAAUGAAUUUGGACAAACGAAAUAAAAUGAUCAUCAGUCUCAAUUUAUUUUAUCUCCAUCUUAAGAUGGGGACAACAGUACUUUAUUACAAUCUGAGUAUUUUCAGGAUUAAAUAAUACAUAGUAUUUUGAGCAUUGCAGCAUUCAAUAAAAAUUUCCUUCCUUUUCCUGCCUUUUCCCCUUAGGCUGCUCUUAAUGUAAGUAUAACUUCUUAAAAGAUAUUCUCAGAAGUGUCCAAUUUUUUUCUAAAUGUUACACGUAAUGAUAGUAUUCAGACUUUAGCCCACAGUGUUAGUUAAACUGUUCUGGAAGUUUCGGCCGGUGCUUCUGAGCUUCAUCCUUUAAGAAAGUAUUGCAGUAACUUAAAAUUACAUCUGACUGAGGAUUCUUCAUUAAAGCAACUUCAUAACUGGGAGCAGGGGAUUCUGAGAAGGUGGCAACCUAACUCUUCUACCUUUCUCUUCUACCUUCAGCUUAAAUCUAUCUUCUCUUCCGUAGCUGCUGGGGCUUUCAAGCAAUGGGGUCAAGGUCAGACUUGGAUUCUAUUCUACAAUGACAUCUGAACAAGUCCUCAAAGGCCAAUCUGAGUCACAGGCAGUGAUGCAGAUGGUAUUGUACAUCGCCUAGCUGGCCAGUUUGGAUCUGUGGAUCACCCCACUGGAAGGUUGCCUUGAAUUCUGUGUAAGUGUUCUGGAGGCCAAAAAGAAACCACUAAACCCAUGAAAAGCUGUCAGGGAUCCAUGAGUUUUCUCCCAGAUGCCUCACUAGGGGACUGUGGUCUGCUUAUUUCUGUUAAAUAAGCAGGAGGCCAUUAGCCUGAGGUUGUUUCCAUGCUUUGAGUUCCUAACUAAUGGCAGCCUAACUCAGUAUAUAAAUAAACUGGAACCCAAUUUAGGAAUGUGACAAAUAGCUGAGUUUCAGCCAAUCACAAGGAGAGGGUUUCAGCAACACAGGCAGCCAACACAUCACCCCAUACCCAAUAAGGCAAAUGCCUCAUCACACCAAGCCCAAAUAGAUGGCUAGUUGUAACUACUCAUGUGAUUUCUCUACUUUGCUUCUACAUUCAGCCUAUAAAAGCUUACUGCUCACACUGCUGGGCAGAGUUCUCUGAACAUCUGGUUCUAAAGUGCUGCCUGAUUCAUCAAUCAUUCUUUCUUCAAACCGUGCUAAAUCUAUAUUGUCUAAAGUUUUUCCUUUAACAUUUCUAUACCCCAGCCCACAGUAGGCAAGACAUCUAUCUUCUACCAAGCACAAGUCUAUGGUCACUAAGGUACUGCAACGGUCUCAUAAAAGUGGGAGCAUAACUUUCCUAAUAUGAAAGGAAAUGAUAGGAACUCAUCUGAUUUACCAUAAAAUUAAUAAUUAUGCAUAGUAAGUAAGGAAAAAUGAAUAAAGAACACUUAUUCCCUACCUCUCUAGUUUUCCUGUGUAGAGUCUUCCUUAUAAUAGCAUCAAUGAUCUCCUACCUCACCCAUUACUUCUCUUCCUUGAGGAGUGUGAAACCUGAUUAGAGGUGGUAGCAGUCUGCCCAAGUUUCUUGAUUGGAUAAUUUUUAUUCCAUUAAAAGACUAUAAGCAGAAGGGAAUUGAUUCUUUUCUCUUUUUGCUCUAAUUCAAAAGGAACAGCAAUCCUUGGUAAACGUGUGCAUUCUGGAGACUCGCAUGUACGUUGGAUGAGCCAUCUCACGAUUGGUGAUUGAGAAGCAGAACAGUCCUACUUGAGUCCAUUUUUCUCUCAGACCUAAGCCAUGCUGUCAAACAGCUUAAACUCUGUUAUGAUUGCCAUCAACCUACCUGCUACAUCUAUCUCUCAAUUGCCUUCAAAUUUGAGCGGGGAAGAUAGGCAUUCUUUUCUUAAGCCUCCUCAGACUCUCUGUUGGGGUUCUUCAGAGGAACAGAACUGAUAAAAUAUAUGUAGUUAUAAGAGUGGAUUUGUUGGAUUCACUUACAUGAUCAGAGGCUGAGUAGUCCCCCAAUAGCCCUCUGCAGGCUGGAGAGCCAGGGAAACCCACUAGCAGCUCAGUCCAAGAAGCUGGGAGCCUCAGCACAAAAUGGGCCAAUAAGGCAGCCCCAGUCAGAAUGAUGGUCUGGAAAGCCCUUUGAAGAGAUAUUGGAGCAAAUCUGCCACUGAGAAAAUCUGUAUUCAAAGGCUAAAGAAUCUAACUUUGAUGUCCAUGGAUGAUGGCAGCAGGAAAAAAAAAUGCACCCACUCAAGAAAGUUCAAGCUCAGUUGCAUAAUUGAGCUUUCUUCUUCCACAUUUUCAUUCUGUCUGGACCUCCAACCUACUGGUCAAUGCCACCUGCAUAUAGGGCCAGUUUUCCCCACCAGUUUGAUGACCCACAUGCCAGUCUUCUCUGGAAACACUCUCACAGAUACACGCUGACAAAUGCUUCACUACUUUUCUAGGUAUUCCUCAAAUUUAGUCAAGCUGACAACCAAAAUUAGCCAUCACAAAUCCCAACACAUUUCUUUCAAUGUAAUUUCUCUGAUUCUAUCACAUAGCAUUUAAGAUUUAAAAAAAUCAAUCAAUGCUGCCAGGACUGGGAAAGACUCAUAGGGCAGAUUUGUAUUUUAGAACCUUUGGAUUCUUUGCACCUGGCACAGGUACAGGCCCAGAAUGAAUGUGGAUCGGGUGGCAAGGGAAAACUGCUACAGCAACUCAAACUGUUUGCAAGUCAUCAAUCUUGCCUUGCUUUCUGAGCCACACUCUCAUGGAACUCAGAUUCUAGUGCCCUGGCUCAUCUUCACCCAUUUCCAUGCCUGCUCCAGCUUGGUUCAGUCUAAAUCCCUACUUGUUCCUGCAUGAGUAAUGGACAUUUAGCAAGUGUUACCUACUCACAAAGAACGCUUUCUACGAGAACAUCACAUAGUUAAAUUUGAUACGACAUUUUACUAUCUUUGUCAAAUUAUAUGCAGCACAUCUGUAAAUUUUUCUUCCAGUUGAAUUAAGUAAUUGGUCCUUGGCAUAAGCAAAUCAAAUCUAUACCUGAGCAUAAUAAAAUUUAUUUAACUUUAGUUGGAGUGCACAGCCAGAUAGUCACAUCAAAAAAAAAUUUUUUUGAUAAGUUUGAUCCAGCAAAAUCUCUCAAUUCCAGCACUUUUAUUAAUGUAACUGUCCUAGUUAACAUUAGCACACCUGGCUUUACUAUGAAUAUGGUAACAAGGCAAUGGAUUUCUCUUGACUUAACUCUUCCUUUUCCUUGUCUCUACACCCACCCUCUCUCUCUCUCUCACACACACACACACACACACACACACACACACACUAUAGCUUUUAAUUGAACUCUGCAGCCUCUGUAUUUAGGAAAUGAUUUUGCCUUUUCCUGGAGCAGAGAGCUUCUUCCCAGCAGUGUCCAUGAAGCCUAGGCUAGAAUACCACUGGAAUGGAGAGGCACUGUUCUCAAAGCAGCCUGUGCUACUUUCAGGCCUCACUAAAAGACACCAGGCAGGAAUUGGGUGAUACAAUCAAAUGGAUAAUUUGAGAAUAAUUUAAUAAGAGGCUAUUGUGAGGGUUCAUGUAGUGCCCCAGCACUAGCCAUCCCAGUAGCCUAUGGGCUGAAAGGAAGUGGGAAUUCACAGAAUUCAAAUAGAGCAGGAUGUGAUGCCAGCCCAUGGUAACGCCUUGGGAAGGAAGCUUAGCUAAUAAUUCCUGAACCCUAAUUUCCUCUUGCCCUCUUAAGCCUGUGGUGUAUCUCAUUGGCUAAAAGCAACCAAAAGUUGGGAUUUACAGAGAGACAAGAAAGGGCACAAAUUGUAAGAAGGUGCUUAGUGUGAGGUCUGUGCGACAGCAAGGUCAAGCCUGCAAGUAAAUGCCCCCUUCUGUGUCUAGGUGCCUCUCCUGCCUCAUUUUAGUCCCAACCCUGGGUUAAGUGAGUCCAGUGAAGUGAUUCAUAUAAAUCAAUUCUGUUUGUUCUCCCAAGCAUGACAAAUAGAUUUGAAGGUGAACCGGAAGAUAUUGAGCACAAAUUGUCAGGAAGUUCUCAUUGUCAUAUGUUAUAAAACUGUGGCUUCCACUAACCCCACUUGAUCCACUGUGCUUGAUCCAGAAACAAUACCUGACCCAGUUAGAUUUCCUUUAAGUAUAAUUUUCAAAAGUUGAGCUUGACUCUCAUAGAAAUAUAAACUGAACACUUCUAAGUUUUAUUCAACCCAUUAAUUAAUAGAGAUGCUAAACUAGUUUGAAAGAAAAUAUGAGGACAUUUAAAUAGUCAAGGAAGCCAAAAAAAAAUGCUAAAGUUAAUAUGCUAAUGAAUGCGAAGCUGGUCAAUACUGUAAAGGUGAAAAAUUGAAAACUUUGGGGCUAUCUUUUCUGCUGGAAGGAAAUCAAUGCUAUCUCUACAGAUAAUUUCAUUUGCAUUGCUAAGGCAGGUAAUCUUUGCAUUAUUAUUGGUUUUCUAUGAGUUAACCUCUUCUAAAUAGCCCUAGACUUAAUGAAUCCACCAGAUAUCCAUCAGAUAAUUCCCAGCAUUCUACUGCAAUGCAUUCAGUAAUCAUCUCUCCUAUCUCUAAGUGCUGGAUAAUGUUUUUAAACAUUUCUCUUCUCCUGGAAGCCAUUCAGAUGUUCAGUGACACCAGGAACAGUUCAUCUUUCUCUGGGAGUCAGGUGCCUAGAGUUGGACGCAGGUGUGGUGUGAAUAAAAGAGUGUCUUAUUUCAGGAACCCAAAAGGAAAACUAAAACCAGUCAUUAUUAAAGCCAAAGAGAUAAUAUUAAUUGUAAAUCCUAUUUACUGCUUAUUUUACUCUAAGGAACACCUUUAUUGUGGACGUUCUCCGCCCAGAAAAGACAUAGGGCUGUGCCUGUACAGCUUUAACAGUGAGACCACAAGAAAGAAGAAAAGGACUCGUCAGACAAGUAGGGUGCAAUGGUAGACUCCAAGGUGGCCUUUAAUUUGUCAACAGGCCUAUAGAGAGACAAUAGUUUAUUUGAUCCAAAUACUUCACUUUCUGUGAACAAUAUGUCUAGAACCAAAAUAUGGGCUCUCCGUUUUGGAUAUGAAUUACCUAUUUAGUGGUUCCAAGUAAUUGGUCUUCAGAGGCAGUUUUCUUUCUUUCUCUUGACUUUUCUCCUGGCAUCCUUAUAUUUUUUGCUUUUUUUCCUCUUUUCUUUCAUUGUUUUGCUUGUGACCUUAGAGACAAUAAACGGUCUUGUAAAUCUUCCAGACUAGAGUUGUCUAAUAGCUGUUUCUAUCAGCAAUGAUAGAACUAUCAGUAUCACUGCUAAGUAGAGUAGCUGCCAGCCACAUGUAACUCUGAAACACUUAGAAUGUUUCCAGGGCAGUCCUUUUAAAACUCAGCAUUAUUAAUACUUGGGGCUGGAUAAUUAUUUGUUGUUGAUGACAUUGCAGAGAAAACACAUCUGUCCUUCUGGGUAGGACCCAACACCAUCAUCCCAUUUGACUUUAGCCCUGUUCUCCCAGCCCUCAGCAAUCUUAUUUAACUCCUGUUGACUUCCCCUCAUAUAUUCAGUCCCUGUGGCCAUCUCAAACUCUCCCACUCUCAUCAAUCUCUUGACCUCAUCCUGCCCACCAGUUGCCAGAAGAGAAGCAAAACAGCACCAAUUGCAACUGUUGUAUGAGAUCACUUCCUCAUGUAAUUCUGGAGUUUACUUAAAAUUUCCCAUUCUCAUGAGGAUGAUAAAUAUUAGUGAAUUUCUUCAUUCUGUGAGAAAUUCAAACUGGGGUUACCUGUCUACCUAGAUCUAAGAGAGGAAGCUAAGUAAACAAAAACAAGAACAAAAACAAAAGCGCAAGCACGCGCGCACGCACACACACACGCACACACAAUGAAUGAAGAUAUAAGAGUAUAAGAGGCCAGGGUUCAACAACCAGUUCUGUUAACUCAUGUUCAUUUGGUAAAGACCUUCAACCUCUUCAAACCUUAGGUUCCCCACCUGUAUAACAGGAAAAAAUGUUGAUUUUUUUUCCUAAGAUUUUGGAUGAUCUUUCUAGGUCUAGACUUUUAAGAUUAAACCCUUUUCUUCUUUGCUAUUAAAUUUUCAAUUUAAAAAAAUAUUUAUUGAGUGCUUACUAUGUGCCAUCACUGAGCUACCUGCUGGGAAUGUAACGGUGACAAAACAGACUUGGCUUCUGCCCUCUGGUAGCUUUGUGGGAAAGCUGGCUACCUACCCAAUGCUUUACCUUGGGAAUGUUCAACUCUUGAGAGAACAAGUGGUCUAAGCAGAAGGUUGUAUUGCUCUAUUCCUGGGUUAACCCACAGGAUACUACGAAAGUGAGACUAGGCUUCCCCUCAGUUCACGAUUUCUUCCAUGCACCUUUAUUAACUGCGUAACAGCACUGGAGAUUCUAUGUAAAUGCUUCUACAAGGAACCCAGAACAGACAUCAGCCAAUCAGAACAAACUAUGACUAAAAUAUGUUGUCACUCUUAGACUUAUUCCUUUGGUUGCUGGUGUAUGAUGAGGUCUGGCAGAUUCCACAGAAGGGACCAGAGUGACCAUGGUAUUAGGUCAAUUCUUGGAGGACUUGGGGAAGUUACUUUUUUUCCCCCAGUUUUUAUAGAAAUAUUUCAAUAUUCUAGUUAUAGGGUGGCCAUACUGGUAUGCUAUUAUUGAAUACAAACCCUAAGUAGAAUUGAUGAGCUAAUGUGGACACCCAGCUAUAUUAUUUAUCAAUAGCAUUGAUCUUUCCAAGAUCACCAAAGUCUAUAAUACUUCUAACAUUUUUAGCAAUGUCUACUUGGACAAUCUUAAUUUUAAUUUCAAUCUUAAUUUUAUUUUGCUCAUUUGACUCUACCCAGGACUUCCUUCUCCUGAGCCAUUUCACAGUUCUUUUCUCUGAGUUCAAAGUAAAUUUAUCCAGGGUCUGAGCCUGUGGUGCAGUGGUGUAACACUUGCCUAGCAUGCACAAAGCCCUGGAUUCAAUCCUUGAUCCUCCAAAAAAGAGAAAAAAAAAGAAAGAAAGAAAAAUAGGUUUAUACAUCACCUCCUUGUAUGGACAUGUUAUUCUAAUACUUGUAAUGGUUUAGAGUCCUACACUGUCUUGUUUGGCUCAAUGCAAUGUCCUUCCUUGGAAAUAACUCUAAUGGUAGUUAUUUUUCUCUAAGUAUGGAGAAACUAUUUCAUGCUUCUAUAAUCCAGAAUGUGUGAAGAAUUAUUCCACUUCUCUAUCUCUCUCUCCCUUCCUCCUUCCUUUCUUUCCUCCUCCUUUUCCUUCCUUCCUUCCUUUGUUCCUUCCUUCAUUCAUUCCUUCAUUCCUUCCCUCCUUUUGUUAUUCAUUCAUUAAUUUAACAUACAUACAGUGUAUAUCUUCUGUUCUGUGUACUGAAAAUAGAGCUAUGAGCAAAAACUGAGUUCCCCACUCUUAGGGACGUGGAUGAAGAUAUCAAUGGAACUUAAUUUCAUGGUUCCUCACUUUCAUUAGCUUUUUCUUAGGCCCCAUAGGGGGCAUUAGCAAAAUAUUACCUGUCUUAUGUAUUUUACAAAUUUUAAAAAACAUACAAUUAUUUGCCAGUGUCCCUUUCCACUCCAAUAUUUCUGCCCUUGCCUUUUUAAUAGAUGAUAUUUAAAUGGCAAAAGAUAUUUUAGGAAUUCUUCUAAGGAGAAGCUGCAUUAGGAAUAAAUCUAAUCUGGAUCUAUAGAGGUGGCAUGCAACCAUAUCUAUACAGAGGCAUUUAAUUAAUGGCUUCCAAGAAUACUACUACUGCCUAUUGUGCUGUCUUAUCUACUGCAGAACACAAUGGUACAAGUUCAGAGAACAUAACAUGAAACAAAAUGUGUCCUAUGGUGGCCACUGUGAAGUUUGUGGCUAGAAGCAGAAACAAGAUUUGAAACAUAAAGUUGGAAGCUAGCGGUAAAACACAUUUUCAUCACCAAUACAGCUACUAGCAAAGAACUGAGGUGUCAUUAAUACUGAGAAUAAGUUCUUGCUUGUUGAAAAUAUGCUAAAAAUGUGUAUACAGUGAAAGAUAUGUUGUAUUCUUAAUUUUUUCAUAGGAACUAUGCAAAAUAGAAGUCAUCAGAAUUCCUGUGUUUGUAGAACACAGAUUUGUAGCUAUACUUCAGUGAGUCUGUUAAGUGUGAAGAUGCAUGUUUUAUAAAUCCCAAGUAUUGAUAAUAAAAAUAAACUAGCAAAGCACUAAAAGAGAAAAUGAGUUAUUUUUCAAUUAAUUUAUGAGAACUGUAGUACAGAAUUACUAUUAUAUACAGAGGUAAGUAUAUAUAUAUAUAUAGCUGAAGACAGAAAAUUAAUAAAACUAUUGUUAAUUUUCUGCUACUUGUCACAUUUUUAAAAUGUCUUAGUUCUGAUUCCCUGUGAGUAGACAGUAAGUUUUAUACUUUGCCAUGACCUGUGUGGCAUCAAAAAAGAAUCUCAAGUAGGGGCAACAGGAGAUGGAGAAAAACACAGAGACAAAGAAAACACAGAGAAAUUUUUAAGCAAAGCUGGGACCAGGUGGGACACUGCACUCUGAUGGAGAAACAGUGACCCAGAACUAGCUCUGCAAGUUUAUUACAUAGGGUCUCAUAAUCAGGAAGUUUAACUAUAUGAGCAUUGUAAAUUAUUCAAGGCUUGUGAGUUAUCAAGAGGUUUUUUUUGUGCAUUAAAAAGUUACAAAGCUAGAAACAUUUUUGCAGCUAUCCUACCAUUACAGUGCUAAGAACAUCCUGCUAUUACCCUGCUGCAUCCAGGAAGCCUUUUGUACUAGAACAUCGGAUAACUGUUAGCAUCAGAGCCAGUGUCAAGGCUGUUAAAAUCCUCGCCUUUUGGCAAGGAAUGUUUCCCAGGUUUGGCUUUUGCCAACACCGCAGGAUCAGCGAUGACCUGGGGCUCAUCUGCUCUCUACAGUUCUUCAUUUAUAGUUUUAUUUAUUUAUUUUUCUUAAAAAGGGCUCCCCCUUUGUCAAAGUGAACCCUACUGUUAUGUAUAACUAUAAUGCACUAAUAAAAAUAUUAAAAAAGAAAAAAAAGGGCUCCCCCAAACUUCGAGUCUUAUAAACCUUACAUCGACUUCUGCUCAUGGAGCUAAUAUUUUAUUGGGAGGACACGUAAAAUAAACAAAUAUAACGUAGUCAAGAAAUGGCAAACCUGGGCUGGGAUUAUGGCUCAGCAGCAGAGUGCUUGCCUCGCACAUAUGGGGCACUGGGUUCAAUCCUCAGCACCAUACAAAAAUAAAUAAAUAAUAAAGGCAUUGUGUCCAUCUACAGCUAAAAAUAUAUUUAAAAAAAGAAGAAGAAGAACUGGCAAACCUAAGACUACAAGAUAGGAUUAGAGGACAGAGAACCUAGGAACCCGCAACAUUUAAAAUAGGUUGGUCAAUGAAGACCACUUUAAAAAAACAACAACAACAAAAAAAAACUAAGAUUUUAUUUGAAUUUUACUAGCUUUUCAAAAAUGUGUUUUUUUCUGAUCUGGAUUCAGCAUGGCACAUUGAAUUUAGUCAGCAUGUCUCGUACUUGUUCUCUGAUCUGUCAUUCCUUAUUUUUUAUUACCUUGAGUGUGUUUCAUAUUUUUCUUUCUUUCUUUUCUUUCCUUCCUUUCUUUUCUUUCCUUCCUUUCUUUUCUUUCUUUCUUUCUCUCUUUCUCUCUCUCUUUCUUUCUUCCUUUCUUUCUUUCUUUCUUUCUUAUUAGAUGAGGGUUGUGAGCUUUGGAGAAGGGAACCACAGAAGUGUGCAUUCUCAUCAUAGCGGUGAGAAAUAGGUCAACCACAUGACUUCAUUCACUGGUGACACUUGGUUAAGGUAGUGUCUGCCAUGUUCUCUAAUAUAAAGUUAUUAUUUUCUUUAUGCUUUGUCAGAAUAUUUAUUAAAGUAACUAAGACAAGCCUGCACUCAAGGGUAAGAAAUUAAGCUCUAUUCCCUUUAGAAAGAAAUAUCAAGGAUUUAUGGAUACACGCUAUAAUGUGUAUAGUGAUAUCUCAUUCUGAUUUUCACAUAAUUUCCCUGAAGACACACAUUGAACAUCUUUUCAUGUAUGCAUUUUUCACCUGUACAUUUUCUUUGGUGAGGUGUUUGUUCAGAUAUUUUCCUAAUUUUUAAUUGCUUAUUUUUUUUUCUUAUU